AAUAUAUAUAUUUUUUUUUCAGAAAAAAUGUCCCAAAAAGCAUUAUACGCAGUUGUACAAUUUUUAAAUGAUCAAACCUUCUCAGAAGUUCCAACAAACUGGAUUAAUCGAGAUGAGAAAAAUAAUGACAUCAUUUGUUGGUGGCCUAACACGAAGAAUAUCAGUUCGCUAAUCGAAAAUCGAACUAAACCAGAUAUGAAAACAUGGUCAAUGUUUGACAUUACAGUGAUCAAAUAUUGUUCGUCACUUGCAUCUACACGAAAGUCAGCUGCAGAUUCUCAUUAUGAUACGACUGACGAGGAAAAAUUUGGACGAGGGCAAAGGACAUUAAACAAGAAUUAUAAUAAACAUAUUUUACAUGAGAUAGAGGAAAACGAUGAUGAUGAUGAUUUAGAUGACGAAGGAAAUAAUAAAGAAAAUGACGACAACAGCAAUGAAAGAAAUAAGAAGUCAAGUAAACACUUGAAACAGAGUAUUAACCGUCCUACUUCAAAUCCUAUGCCCACAUAUGAUCCUGAGAAAGCAGAAAACUCACGCCAAUCUGUUAAUACCUGCACCACAAAAAAAUCUACAUUUUUCUACUUCUACUAAAAAUUCUGAAACUGAAACUUUAGCAUCAUGUUCAAAGAUUCCAUCAGUACAAGAAGUCUACAACAUUCUGGAACAAAUAGAAAAAAACGUAGAUAAAAUCACACGAGAAAAUGUUAAGAUCAAUUUCGAGCUAACGAGUAUAUCAAAAAGAUUGGGUACAUUGGAAUCCUGUCGCCAUAAUAAUAUAGAACCUGCAGAAAACGAUAUGGCAAUGAUAAUUUCACUAUUGCCAAUUAAAACAGUGGAAUCCAUAAAAGAAUUUGAUGAUUUAAUUAAAUCAAAUGAGACUGCUGCAUCCCAAUUU
Molecule: RNA transcript, 895 nt
Organism: Temnothorax curvispinosus
Lineage: Eukaryota; Metazoa; Arthropoda; Insecta; Hymenoptera; Formicidae
Exons: 5
Source: RefSeq, a predicted model, not a curated record